CGCGCAGGCGGCCAAGUCAGUCGAAUGUGAAAGCCCCCGGCUCAACUGGGGAGGGUCAUUCGAUACUGCUUGGCUCGAAGAUAGGAGAGGGAAGCGGAAUUUCAGGUGUAGUGGUGAAAUGCGUAGAUAUCUGAAGGAACACCAGUGGCGAAGGCGGCUUUCUGGCCUAUUCUUGACGCUGAGGCGCGAAAGCUAGGGGAGCGAACG
This 207-nucleotide ribosomal RNA is filed under the name uncultured bacterium. RNAcentral's name for it is "partial 16S ribosomal RNA". It matches the Rfam family "Bacterial small subunit ribosomal RNA", at positions 568 to 774 of the family's 1533-position model. The record is from RNAcentral.